AUUGAACGCUGGCGGCAUGCUUUACACAUGCAAGUCGAACGGCAGCACGGGCUUCGGCCUGGUGGCGAGUGGCGAACGGGUGAGUAAUAUAUCGGAACGUACCCAGAAGUGGGGGAUAACGUAGCGAAAGUUACGCUAAUACCGCAUACGAUCUAUGGAUGAAAGCAGGGGACCGCAAGGCCUUGUGCUCCUGGAGCGGCCGAUAUCUGAUUAGCUAGUUGGUGAGGUAAAGGCUCACCAAGGCGACGAUCAGUAGCUGGUCUGAGAGGACGACCAGCCACACUGGAACUGAGACACGGUCCAGACUCCUACGGGAGGCAGCAGUGGGGAAUUUUGGACAAUGGGCGCAAGCCUGAUCCAGCAAUGCCGCGUGAGUGAAGAAGGCCUUCGGGUUGUAAAGCUCUUUUGUCAGGGAAGAAACGGUAAAGGCUAAUAUCCUUUGCUAAUGACGGUACCUGAAGAAUAAGCACCGGCUAACUACGUG
This 484-nucleotide ribosomal RNA is filed under the name uncultured bacterium. Its description in RNAcentral is "partial 16S ribosomal RNA". It matches the Rfam family "Bacterial small subunit ribosomal RNA", at positions 30 to 507 of the family's 1533-position model. The record is from RNAcentral.